Molecule: long non-coding RNA, 1151 nt
Filed under: Canis lupus familiaris (dog)
Lineage: Eukaryota; Metazoa; Chordata; Mammalia; Carnivora; Canidae
Description: lncRNA (ENSCAFG00000053691.1, ENSCAFG00805026030.1, ENSCAFG00845010044.1)
Source: RNAcentral
UAAGCAGCAAAAUUACCAAGAAAAAGCAUAAAAAUGUAAAAAACAUGGCACUAGAUAGAGCACAAAACAGACACUUGUUUGCACUAUGAGAGCUGAAACAAGAAGGCAGAGCAGAGUGUUGCCUUGUUCAACCUCAGUUGGGAAUGUGCCCGUCUAGUGACUCAGGAUUGUUGCUACUCUGAGCACGUGGUCCAAAAGAAUCACAAAGGCACUAUGAAUAUUGAUUUUGGUGUUAACAAAUAAAUUUUAGCGAGUGGGUGAUUUUGCAAAUAUGGAAUCUGCAAAUAAUGAGGAUUGCCUUUAUAUAUAGAUAUAGAUUGAAUUGCAUCUUCUGUCUUUCUGAGUGAGCUCUGAGCUGUGUCUGUGGAUUUAGCUCUGGACCAGUUGUAAUUCAAAGCUGGGAAUGCAGUUUCCCUGCUCAGAGCAGGGAGGCCAGAUAGACUUCUCUCCCCCAAGUGCCAGGCUCAGCAAUCCAGACCUCCUCUCUCUGCCUAAAGGGGAGCGGCCCCCGGUAGGGGCCAGAAGAAUGCGAUGGUGCAGUGAUUCAGUUAUCCCCAGUGUACCACCUGACCAACCAUGUCCCAGGGAUGGAGAAUACUGAGCUGGGGAAGAAAUGGCUGGAACAGAGGAUGCAGGCAGAGAUGAGUGUAUGGAAACACAAGAAAAGAAGCUGUCAGAACUCCACCAGGCGGCAGCGUGGCCUUGUUCCCUAUUUUGGGCCAGAUUUCUGUUUCUGGGCUGUAAUUCCAGGCUUCGCUGAGUCACUGCACACUUAGAAGCCUGCCAGCCCCAGCCUCCUGAAGACUGCGUCCUUCCCAGCUGACUAGGAGUCUUUUCAAGGACAUGGGACCUGACCUAUUGCCCCAGGAGGCUGAAGUUCCUCACCAGCAUCCCCUCACCAGUUUAUUUCACUCUGAACCCCUAGCUCCUAACACAGUCAUGAGUCGUCUGUGGACUUCUCCAGUUCUCUCCUGCUGGGGUGUUCCUCAAGUUCUCCAGCCAGCAGCAGCAAACAACACACAGCUGGCAUCAGCGUGCCCUGGAGCCAUGUACUCUCACCAACUGUGUUCUGGCUGGGUAGGGAAACGGUACUGGGAAUUACCUGAUGAACACCUGGGUUUGUAUGGAGGGAUUUACAAUACAUCUUUGAG